Molecule: ribosomal RNA, 253 nt
Filed under: uncultured bacterium
Lineage: Bacteria
Description: partial 16S ribosomal RNA
Rfam family: Bacterial small subunit ribosomal RNA
Source: RNAcentral
UACGAAGGGGGCUAGCGUUGCUCGGAAUGACUGGGCGUAAAGGGCGCGUAGGCGGCUUGUAUAGUCGGAUGUGAAAUUCCUGGGCUUAACCUGGGGGCUGCAUACGAGACGUAUGGGCUUGAGUGCGGAAGAGGGUCGUGGAAUUCCCAGUGUAGGGGUGAAAUGCGUAGAUAUCGAGAGGAACACCUGCGGCGAAGGCGGGUUGCUGGGCCGACACUGACGCUGAUGCGCGAAAGCCAGGGGAGCGAACGGG